GUAGAGGUAGCUCAUUGGUUAAGAGCACUUCUGGACUGCUCUUCCAGAGGUCUUGAGUUCGAUUCCCAGCAACCACA
This 77-nucleotide transfer RNA is filed under the name Mus musculus (house mouse). It matches the Rfam family "tRNA". From Rfam's summary of the family: Transfer RNA (tRNA) molecules are approximately 80 nucleotides in length. Their secondary structure includes four short double-helical elements and three loops (D, anti-codon, and T loops). Further hydrogen bonds mediate the characteristic L-shaped molecular structure. tRNAs have two regions of fundamental functional importance: the anti-codon, which is responsible for specific mRNA codon recognition, and the 3' end, to which the tRNAs corresponding amino acid is attached (by aminoacyl-tRNA synthetases). tRNAs cope with the degeneracy of the genetic code in two manners: having more than one tRNA (with a specific anti-codon) for a particular amino acid; and 'wobble' base-pairing, i.e. permitting non-standard base-pairing at the 3rd anti-codon position. Lineage: Eukaryota; Metazoa; Chordata; Mammalia; Rodentia; Muridae. The record is from Rfam by way of RNAcentral.